Molecule: non-coding RNA, 75 nt
Organism: Gallionellales bacterium RIFCSPLOWO2_02_60_31
Lineage: Bacteria; Pseudomonadati; Pseudomonadota; Betaproteobacteria; Nitrosomonadales
Source: Rfam
CUGCACAUCAGUGCCGAUUUGACAUCAGCUUGCGGGGCACUUUAAACAUACCAGCUAAAGCGAGGCAACCCGCUC